UACAGAGGUGGCAAGCGUUGUUCGGAAUUACUGGGCGUAAAGGGCGCGUAGGCGGCCUUCUAAGUCAGACGUGAAAUCCCCCGGCUUAACCUGGGAACUGCGUCCGAUACUGGCGGGCUUGAAUUCGGGAGAGGGAUGUGGAAUUCCAGGUGUAGCGGUGAAAUGCGUAGAUAUCUGGAGGAACACCGGUGGCGAAGGCGGCAUCCUGGACCGACAUUGACGCUGAGGCGCGAAAGCCAGGGGAGCAAACGGG
Molecule: ribosomal RNA, 253 nt
Filed under: uncultured bacterium
Lineage: Bacteria
Description: partial 16S ribosomal RNA
Rfam family: Bacterial small subunit ribosomal RNA
Source: RNAcentral